Non-coding RNA from Hydra vulgaris (swiftwater hydra), 165 nucleotides. NCBI's taxonomy places the organism in Eukaryota, Metazoa, Cnidaria, Hydrozoa, Anthoathecata, Hydridae. The record is from RefSeq and is a predicted model, not a curated record.
GCUCAAAUCACUGCAGUUAUUCGUGAAACAUACUCAUUUGAUGUUAAAAAGAAGGGGGAAGGACGGGAGGAGAGAAAAAACAACACGCCCCUCACCCCCACGCUCCUACACCCCUUGAAACACUAAUUAUGUUAUAAACUAGCAAAAUAUAAUUUUUGUUUUUAA